GAGGUUUGAUCCUGGCUCAGGACGAACGCUGGCGGCGCGCCUAACACAUGCAAGUCGAACGAGAGAGAAGGAGCUUGCUUCUUCGAUCGAGUGGCGAACGGGUGAGUAACGCGUGAGGAACCUGCCUCAAAGAGGGGGACAACAGUUGGAAACGACUGCUAAUACCGCAUAAGCCCACGGGUCGGCAUCGACCAGAGGGAAAAGGAGCAAUCCGCUUUGAGGUGGCCUCGCGUCCGAUUAGCUAGUUGGUGAGGUAAUGGCCCACCAAGGCGACGAUCGGUAGCCGGACUGAGAGGUUGAACGGCCACAUUGGGACUGAGACACGGCCCAGACUCCUACGGGAGGCAGCAGUGGGGAAUAUUGCACAAUGGGGGAAACCCUGAUGCAGCGACGCCGCGUGAGUGAAGAGGUAUUUCGGUAUGUAAAGCUCUAUCAGCAGGGAAGAAAGUGACGGUACCUGAAUAAGAAGCCCCGGCUAACUACGUGCCAGCCGCCGCGGUAAUUC
RNAcentral lists this ribosomal RNA (505 nucleotides) under uncultured bacterium. Its description in RNAcentral is "bacterial SSU rRNA". It matches the Rfam family "Bacterial small subunit ribosomal RNA", at positions 9 to 526 of the family's 1533-position model. The record is from RNAcentral.